AGCGCGGAGAGGUGCGUCGGUCGCACAUCGGCCUCAUAAGCCGCCGUUAGCCGGUUCGACUCCGGUCUCCGCUAC
This 75-nucleotide transfer RNA is filed under the name Actinorhabdospora filicis. Its description in RNAcentral is "tRNA-Met". It matches the Rfam family "tRNA". From Rfam's summary of the family: Transfer RNA (tRNA) molecules are approximately 80 nucleotides in length. Their secondary structure includes four short double-helical elements and three loops (D, anti-codon, and T loops). Lineage: Bacteria; Bacillati; Actinomycetota; Actinomycetes; Micromonosporales; Micromonosporaceae. The record is from RNAcentral.